Molecule: transfer RNA, 72 nt
Organism: Camelus ferus (Wild Bactrian camel)
Lineage: Eukaryota; Metazoa; Chordata; Mammalia; Artiodactyla; Camelidae
Rfam family: tRNA
About the family: Transfer RNA (tRNA) molecules are approximately 80 nucleotides in length. Their secondary structure includes four short double-helical elements and three loops (D, anti-codon, and T loops).
Source: Rfam
GAGGGUAUAGCUCCGUGGGAGAGCACAUGCUUAGCAUGCACAAGGUCAUGGGUUCAAUCCCCAGUGCCUCCA